AAAAAAGAGCAGCCACCAGGAAAAAAAACUAGAGAAGAUUCACUCAUUGUUGCCACAAAGACACCUCUCCCCUUCCCACUCCCUCUCCAUGCUCAUUCCUCCAACAGUGCUACAAAGACGUGCAGUCUGCGCCGGGAGUUGCUGAGCCCGAGCCGUGAGCUCCUCAACUCCGCGGGGGCCGUGCCAGGAGACCCGGGGCUCAAGAGUCCUCCGAGAGUAGGUGUGGGAGAUUGGGCAGUGUUGUCAUGGAUUUCAUACUAGAAGUUUCAAGUUAAAAAAUGAGCUGGAAGACAACAGUGGUGCGGAAUAUGAGAGGAAGGUUUGUGAGGAAGAAAACAAAACGGACUGUGUGGACUAAUGAAAGGAUGGUUUUAAGCGCGGGUUUGGCGGCUGGCCCUGUCCGUGUCCCCGAGUUGGACUUCCCGGCUGCUGGUGAUCCUGCCGG
This is a long non-coding RNA of Aquila chrysaetos chrysaetos, 445 nucleotides long. RefSeq lists it as uncharacterized. The record is from RefSeq and is a predicted model, not a curated record. NCBI's taxonomy places the organism in Eukaryota, Metazoa, Chordata, Aves, Accipitriformes, Accipitridae. The transcript has 4 exons.